RNAcentral lists this ribosomal RNA (253 nucleotides) under uncultured bacterium. RNAcentral describes it as "partial 16S ribosomal RNA". It matches the Rfam family "Bacterial small subunit ribosomal RNA", at positions 524 to 776 of the family's 1533-position model. The record is from RNAcentral.
UACGGAGGGUGCAAGCGUUAUCCGGAUUCACUGGGUUUAAAGGGAGCGUAGGAGGGCAGGUAAGUCAGUGGUGAAAUCUUCGAGCUUAACUCGGAAACUGCCGUUGAUACUAUCUGUCUUGAAUACCGUGGAGAUGAGCGGAAUAUGUCAUGUAGCGGUGAAAUGCUUAGAUAUGACAUAGAACACCAAUUGCGAAGGCAGCUCGUUACACGAAUAUUGACGCUGAGGCUCGAAAGCGUGGGGAGCAAACAGG